GAGCAAGUGAGUAGCAGUGUGUCUGAAAGCUAUGAAAUAUUGUAUGGUGAUAAAGAUGGCUUCUCCCACACUGGACAACUUUCUGAGGCCUUAGCGACACAUUGUUCACUCUUCCACCAAAGGCCAUCUGUUCAGGUUGUUCCCUAUGUUUAUCAAAAUCCUACUCAUCAGAUUUAUAUGUCCAUAUAAACAGUCUCUCAUCUUCUUAGACAUACUUGAUUUCUCAUCUUCUCUAUGCCAGUAGUUUGUAGAUUUUUCCAUAGCAAAAGCAGAAAUUUGUUACAUCUUAGUUAUAUGUGAACACACGUAACUGCCUGAAGUCAAAAUAUUUAUCGUUUUAUCUGCCACUUUGCAAGCACAAUGUCUGGUGUCAGUAUGGGUACCCUAAUGUGAUUAUCUAAUUCAUUGAAAUAUGUGAACUAUGGAUUCUUAAUAAUAUUUUUUUGUUGGGUUGUGAUAUUUAGGUUAAAACUUCAACAACAAAUUGUGAAUAUUGAAAAUGCAGAGAAAGAAAAAAAUGAAAAUUCUGACCUGAAACAGCAAAUCAGUAGUUUGCAGAUCCAAGUGACCUCGCUUGCACAGUCAGAGAAUGAGUUGCUGAAUUCAAACCAAAUGCUGAAGGAAAUGGUGGAGAGGUUAAAACAAGAAUGCCGAAAUUUAAGAAGCCAAGCUGAAAAAGCACAACUAGAAGUUGAAAGGACUUUGGAAGAGAAACAGAUACAGUGGUUGGAAGAAAAGCAUAAGCUUCAGGAACGUAUCACUGACAGAGAAGAAAAGUAUAAUCAAGCUAAAGAAAAACUGCAGCGAGCUGCAAUUGCCCAGAAAAAG
This is a non-coding RNA of Leptonychotes weddellii (Weddell seal), 828 nucleotides long. NCBI's taxonomy places the organism in Eukaryota, Metazoa, Chordata, Mammalia, Carnivora, Phocidae. The record is from RefSeq and is a predicted model, not a curated record.